This 225-nucleotide signal recognition particle RNA is filed under the name human gut metagenome. Its description in RNAcentral is "Bacterial large signal recognition particle RNA". It matches the Rfam family "Bacterial large signal recognition particle RNA", at positions 3 to 223 of the family's 256-position model. From Rfam's summary of the family: The signal recognition particle (SRP) is a universally conserved ribonucleoprotein involved in the co-translational targeting of proteins to membranes. RNAcentral also lists the same sequence under 1 other name. The record is from RNAcentral.
UGUGCUAGGUGGGGAGCUAGCGGUGCCCUUAACCUGAGAUCCGCUACAGCAGGGCCGAAGGGUGCUUCUCGGCAAGCAGUAUGGAAGGCUGGGAAUAGUGUGUGAUGAAGAUAUCAAGGUCUUUUGGGAUAGUCAUUUGUGAACCGUGUCAGAGCUUAGCGGCAGCAGCACUAAGCGAAGUAGACUAUUUGCCUUAAGGUAGCUUUGAAGGAGUUAACUGCUAUU